CGGGCAUCUUCCGUCCCCGGCGUUCCGACCCUAUGCCAGGGGCCGUCGCCGUGCCCGUUCCCGGAGCCGGGGUUUGGGCUGCGUCCCGUUCCCGAGACUAGGACUCAUGGCUUCCUCUGUUCCUGGCACAGGAAUGCAUUUGAGGAGCUGCUGGUGCAGGACAAAGCAUGACUCAACAGCAAGGCAGGAUGCUGGUGAGGAAACACUAAGAUGGAGACAACUAGUACAGAUUUCUUGCAAAACUGAAAUAAUUUUGAAAAAGAACAGCUAUUGUCAUGGGUAAUUACAGGAACUGCAAU
This is a long non-coding RNA of Hirundo rustica (Barn swallow), 299 nucleotides long. RefSeq lists it as uncharacterized. NCBI's taxonomy places the organism in Eukaryota, Metazoa, Chordata, Aves, Passeriformes, Hirundinidae. The record is from RefSeq and is a predicted model, not a curated record. The transcript is spliced from 3 exons.